Molecule: ribosomal RNA, 468 nt
Filed under: uncultured bacterium
Lineage: Bacteria
Description: partial 16S ribosomal RNA
Rfam family: Bacterial small subunit ribosomal RNA
Source: RNAcentral
GACGAACGCUGGCGGCGUGCUUAACACAUGCAAGUCGAACGGCAAGGCCCUGCUUUUGUGGGGUGCUCGAGUGGCGAACGGGUGAGUAACACGUGAGUAACCUGCCCUUGAUUUUGGGAUAACUUCAGGAAACUGGGGCUAAUACCGGAUAGGAGCCCCUGCUGCAUGGUGGGGGUUGGAAAGUUUCGGCGGUUGGGGAUGGACUCGCGGCUUAUCAGCUUGCUGGUGGGGUAGUGGCUUACCAAGGCUUUGACGGGUAGCCGGCCUGAGAGGGUGACCGGCGACAAGGGGACUAAGAGACGGACCAGUGUGGAACAGGAGACAGCAGGGGGGAAUAUGGCACAGUGAGAGGAAGCCGGAGACGGAAGCGCCGCGGGCGGAAUGCCGGCCUGCGGGUUAUAAACAGCUUUCGCCUAUGACGAAGCGGGAGUGACGGUAAUGGAUAAAGAAGCACCGGCUAACUACGUG